RNAcentral lists this ribosomal RNA (464 nucleotides) under uncultured bacterium. Its description in RNAcentral is "SSU rRNA". It matches the Rfam family "Bacterial small subunit ribosomal RNA", at positions 26 to 518 of the family's 1533-position model. The record is from RNAcentral.
AGGACGAACGCUGGCGGCGUGCCUAAUACAUGCAAGUCGAACGGAUUGCCUUCGGGCAGUUAGUGGCGGACGGGUGAGUAACACGUGAGUGACCUGCCCUGGAGUGGGGAAUAACUCUGCGAAAGCAGAGCUAAUACCGCAUUCGCUUACUUCAUCAUCGGAGUAAGUAAAGCUUCAUGCGCUUCAGGAGGGGCUUGCGGCCGAUUAGCUAGUCGGUGGGGUAAUGGCCUACCGAGGCGACAAUCGGUAGCUGGUCUGAGAGGAUGACCAGCCACACUGGGACUGAGACACGGCCCAGACUCCUACGGGAGGCAGCAGUAAGGAAUAUUCCACAAUGGCCGCAAGGCUGAUGGAGCAACGCCGCGUGCGCGACGAAGCCCUUCGGGGUGUAAAGCGCUUUUCCCAGGGAUGAGAAUGGACAGUACCUGGGAAUAAGCCUCGGCUAACUACGUGCCAGCAGCCGC